Molecule: unclassified non-coding RNA, 349 nt
Filed under: Hevea brasiliensis (rubber tree)
Lineage: Eukaryota; Viridiplantae; Streptophyta; Magnoliopsida; Malpighiales; Euphorbiaceae
Source: RNAcentral
UACUCUUUGCUCAUAUGCAGUGCGAUCACGCAUCAUUACUGCAGCAGCUUCUCCAUUCAACGGAUCGGAAGGGUUGGGAUACAGGAGGAGUUGUGGAAGGAACACUUCGAAAACAUUUACAAGGUCAAACAUAGGGCUCCAUGUCUGGUUGAUAACAUCCAAACAAACAGAGCCCGACAUUUCAUCAACAUUUGGAUGAUAAAUUUUGUUGACAAAGCCAAUUGAAGGUGACUUGUAGGGAUAAGCAUCUGGCAACUCCACCCUAAUCCUCCACACACCACCUUGAUAAAGACUGUCUUUAGGUCCAUGGAAGUCCACAUAGAACUCUUGCAUGCUAUCAUUGAUUGUU